This is a non-coding RNA of Paramuricea clavata, 1159 nucleotides long. The record is from the annotation of a GenBank genome assembly. NCBI's taxonomy places the organism in Eukaryota, Metazoa, Cnidaria, Anthozoa, Malacalcyonacea, Plexauridae.
UUAUCAAUUUCUCAUUGAUAUGCACUCAUAAAAUGUCUAUUUUUUCUUUAUUUCAGGAUUCAACGCAAGUUAGAUCUUCGACUUAUUGGUAGAACCAAUCUGAACAACCCAGUUUAUUUUCUAUACGCUGCAGGACCAAUGAGUAAUAAGAUAUUUUGAUAUUUCAGCAUAUGUUUAUUAUGAUUUUCAGUAUCGAUCGCCAAAACGUUUUGACUUGGUGAAAGGACAAAAUUCUUCAAUGGAAAUGCAUCGCCUUUUAUUUUAAUCAAUCGAGAUAAGCACAGGCGUACGGGAGGGGAAAAAAAGGGGCAGAAAGAAAUUCGUUAAACUUGUUUUCAUUUUGCCCGACCAAUCAAAAACAUUUCCCAGCUAAACUUCGAAAGACGGGGAAAUUUUUGUAGACAGGUGCGGGGGAAGAAUUUUGGGCCAAAUUACAUUUUCGACUAUUGUCUUGCCUUUUUGACCAUUAUCUUACAGUAUACAUAUUUCUUGCUUUUCAAUUUAUUAGAGGGGAGGGGCGGGGGUAAUACAGUACUUAGUCUUGUGGUAGUAUAUAUUUCUUCCUUUCGUUUAAAGAUCUUAUUUUGAUAUUUUCUAGAGGACGCUGGCGACAAGAUAGGUUUUCAUAAAUUAAAAGAAACAUCUCCAAGUUUCCUUAAUGUCUCCACUAUAUCUGAUAACACUGAUAACAGCAAGGCCAAGAAGGUAAAAGUUAAUAAAUUACUGGAGUCACUCAGAACACUUUAGUCGAAAUGUUUGUUGCUUUCGGAAUUACUAUUGUUAAGGCGGCUCUCUACCUUUCUAAAAAUGUGGAAAAGGCAUAAAUUAGAUUAACUCUAUGAAGAGAUAUUGCAGCUUGCUAGAAAUAAAAAAAUUGUACACCAUAUAUAUAUAGAGCAACAAUGAAACAGUUGGAAAUUGGUCACAAAAAUUACGGUUGCUAGCGCUGUGGAAACAUUCAAUAUGUCAGGUACGAUAGACUAUCUGACCUAGUUUAAAUAAUUCUGCACAGCCAAAUUUUGAAAAAAAAUAUAAUCAUGCAUGGUUUUUAGGCCGUUUGCUGCGUCCCGUUAUUGUUCACUGUUUAGUAGACGAUAGCUCCACUCGGUAUAAUAAUAAAGAAUUUAAUAACAAACUAUAAACCAGAAAAUAACACCCA